This is a non-coding RNA of Microcebus murinus (gray mouse lemur), 4632 nucleotides long. Lineage: Eukaryota; Metazoa; Chordata; Mammalia; Primates; Cheirogaleidae. The record is from RefSeq and is a predicted model, not a curated record.
CGCCGUCCCGGCCACGGCGAGCGCCUCCCUUUCCCUGGCGCCAGGCCCUCAGGGCCGCCAUCUCCCUGAGCGCGGGCCGCGGGGCCGCCAUCUCCCUGAGCGCGGGCCGCGGGGCCGCCGUCUCCCUGAGCGCGGGGCGUUUGCCCGGCCGCUUCAGCCCAGGCUGACAUCUUGUGAAGAAGAUACCGAGACUCUAAGGGUGCUGUGAACGGUGAAAGGCAGGGAAGCUCUGGUGUGGUUGUUUGUUUGGGCCUCUUAGGAUAAUGGCUCUGGAGGAAGCCAGCCACCACGUGAGGUAACGAGCCCGACUCACCAUAAUCUGAGGAAGCCCAGAACAGCCACGUGUAAAGCUGCGUGGGGAGAGAAAUGUCCCGUCAGCCUCUGGCUAGCCCAGUGUCUGUGCCAAGUGCAAGUGUGGAGACACUUACAGCUGACUCCAGCUUCAACUGCUCUCUGGCCACAGCCAUAUGAGAGGUACACCAGGUGACAACUGCCCGGAUAAAGUCAUCAAUUCCCAGAACUGCGAGAAAUAAUACUAUAUUGCUGUUUUAAGCCACUGAAUUUUGAAAUAGUUUUGCAAGAAGAAAUUGAUAACUGGAACAGAACUUUGGUGCUUCAAAGUGAGAUGCUGCUAUAACAUAAACUUGAGGCAUGUGGCAUUUGUUUUUGGACGGAGCAAUGAGUGGAAGUUGGAAUAUCCGCAAAGAUUCUGUUAGUGAAAUCUGGAAAGGUCUCAAGAGACUGUUGGUGAGGGUCUGAGAGACAGAGAGGAACACAUUGCCGGAGGUUAAAGAAAAGGGAGCACUUGUGAUUUGUGGCGAAAAUUUUGCUGGCACUGUCGCUUGUGAUAAUGUGGAAAAGAAAAAGAGGAACAAAUGAACUUGUGGGUCUGGCCAGAGAGAUCUGCAGGCAGAAGGCAAAAGGUGCCAACCGGCUUCUCCUAGCUGCCUAUUAUAAAAUAUGAGUAGAAAUGGACUAAUGAAGGAAUCAUCUAGUUUUCAAACAGAAUUUAGAGGAAAUGUAAAUGAACCCUGGUUUAAUGGGUUCAAAAUAAAAUUAUUUCCUAUCCCCAUUCUCUUUCAGCAAAGGAUUUUCAAACUAGAAAUGCCCUCAAGGAAAAUAUAAAAUCUAAGCCAUUAUGAGUAAAGCGUGGUUUCAGAGUAAAAGUCUCAAAGUUAUAAGGCCUUUCGUUUAAACUUCAUAAAUAAUUAAAGACAUGUCUAGUAGGGCUUCUAAAAAAUUAAGUCUGUUCUUCUUAGACCUUUUUUGCAGGAAAAGAAUCCUAAACACAUACCUUGAAGACCCUUUAAAUCAGACAAAAAGCAUAUAAGCACAUUAAGAGCACAAUUUUGCAGUGUCUGACUCUGAAGUCAAUGGAGAAAAGGAAAAAGGGGCUGUCUCAGGAAGAAAAAAAAGAUGAUAGCUUUCGUCUCAGUGAAUGGAUUAUAAUUUGAUAGACAGGAAGCUCACAACAUUUUUAAAGGAAUUAUAUCAGCUUGGACCAAAAGUAAGAGACAGUACAGAAAGUGACCUGUAGACCUUCAAUCUUCCAUAAGCAGGAAGAAACCAAGGAGAUUGCUCAAUUUAAAACAAAAGCCAUUUCUUAUGUAAAAGAAAAGAACAUUCAGAGAUGGAACCAAGAGUUCAGAGGGAAGAAGAAUUAUUUUCUUGUGGAAGGACUGGCCCCUAACCAAGCAACUAGCAAUAUUUGCCCAGCAUAAUUUCAGAAUUACUAUGAAACCACAACUUCUAUAUAGUAUACUAUUCAUUUCUUCCCUUUUGGAACAGUAAGAUAUAUUGUAGUUAUCCUAUGCAUGUCUCACCAUUGUAUGUUUGGAGUGGGUGAGAAGACAGAUGGCUGUCUUUAUUUCACAGGUUUUCAGAUCAAAUAAGUGUACUCAAGAUGCUAUACCCAAGGGUGCAUACCAAAGCAGGCUCAUUUGUAUCUGGACCUAACUUAGAUAAUAGGAUCUUGGAUUUCAAGCUGUUACUGUAAUGGGAUGAACAUUUAUCGGCCUUAGGAGAGGGGUGGAUGUUUUUUGCAUGAAGGAGAGCCAUACAUUUUUGGAGCUCUGGUGGAUUGUGAUGGUUUGCCUCCAAGACAGUCACCAUCCUUUUCUUCCUUUCCUGUGUGCAUUAAUCCCAUUAAGUGGAAUUUGCUUCUACACUUUCCUUGAGUUUGUACUGGCCUUCAUAACUUCCUUAACCAAUAGAAUGUGGUGGAAGUGACAUUCCAGGGCUUCUGUGGUUAAUUCAUAAGAAGACAUGCAGCUUCUGCUCAAGCCUUAGAAAACUUGGAAUGCAUAGAAGGAUUCAGUUACCAAAUAAAUUUGAUUACCCUAAGACUGCCAUGUGUAAAGCAGCAAAAGCCACAUGGAGAGGCUGCAUGGAGAGAGAGAGAUGCUCCACCAACUGCCAGCAUUUCUAGCCAUCCCAGCCCUGGCAACAGACAUGUGAGUGAAGAUGUAUUCAACUAACUCCAGCCUCAGUCACCAUAGGAAUGCAACAUUAUAAAGGACCCCAGUGGGAACUACCAAAAUGAGCCCAUCAACCCCCAGAGGAGAUAAUAUAUUGUUGUAUUAAGGCACCAAAUUUUGGGGUGCUUUGUGAUACAGAAGCAAAUAACUAGACCUGCUAGCAUUUUAUUUUUCAUAUAGACAUAUUUAUAGUGCUUCACCUUUAUAAAAUCUAUGACAGUUGAGUCCACAUUGAAUUGCUUAGAUGUCUAUUCACAAAACUAGAAUCAAUAGAUAUUUGAUUUGCCUGUCUAAAAGAGGCAGAUAGAACAGCAGAAAAAGCCCAAGUUUCCAAUUUCAGUUUUAUUACUAAGUAACUGUGUCUGUGCAAAUCAGUGAAAUGUGUUGAACCUCAAUUUUCUCAUUUGUAAAAUGGGGCUAAUAUUUUUUCCUUUCUACCUACAAGAUUAUGAUAAAGUUUCAAGUAGACACAAUGAAAAUCCCUAACUCCAGCCCCAGCCACCAUAGGAAUGCAACAUUAUAAAGGACCCCAAGUGGGAACUACCAAAAUGAGCCCAUCAACCCCCAGGGCCACUUGCUGCAAAACAACCUAUGGUGAUUCAAAACUUGGGAAAGAAGCUUUACUGAGAGGCAAUACUUCACAGGAAGGAGGCUCUGCGGGGUCAGCGCUCUGUCUCCGGCCCCUGGUUCUGACGCCUGUCCUGUGGCUCACAGCCCACGUCUGCCUGGACCAUCUUUGAGCACCCGGAGUGUGGUAAGGUGGGAGCCUCCUCCCAGCGCCCUGGCAAGCUGGAGGAUGUCUGAACCGAUUUUUCAGCCUGUCCUGAUAUAAGACAACCGAUUGGCCCACGUUUGCUUGAGGAGAUCAAGAACUGGAAUACUGAGUGGGUCAAUGACUGCGCGUUACUUCCAUUGGUCAAACCUGAACACUUGUGUUUCUCAUCAUGCCUGGUGUCUGGACUCCAGGCCCUGUUCUAAGAUUUGAAGAAUUUCACCAUAGUUUCUGGCUUUCUGUGUGUCUCUAUGUGGUUAUAUUACAGUCCCAGAAAGGAGACCUUAAAAGCCAUAGUUGUGAACCCACUGUCUAAUUUUAAUCUUAACUAGGCACAUCAAAUAUGGAGCAAUAGCAUAAGAACAGGUGUGGGCAUAUAGCAGAAACUCAGGACAGGACCACUUCAGCUCCUCCUGGACCUUUAUCUCCAUGGAAAAGGAAAACAGCCCUGUUUGGAUAUGUGAUCUUUCAAGAUGAUUAAUAGGAACCAGUGGAAGUUAGUGUUUCCUCCUCCUGAAAUAUUGCAAACUUGCAUCUCAGGGCCGGAAGUGCCCACCAUUAAUGAGAUGUAGGAGCUGUGGGGCUCUGCAAAUCUCCCCCUCCACGUUUCAGAACGUUGCACACCAAGCUUCUGCCUGCUCAAGUGUCCAUGGGCUCAUAUCUUCCAUUCUCAGUGGCCCUAGAGGGUCUGCAGCCCAGGCACUCUCUUGUGUGAGGAGGGCAUUGGUUUCCUGCCCUGAUGCUGCUGAUAUAAGAGAGCAGUCAUUCUGUGGACUUCUCUGCUGGUAUUCUCCUCCCUCUAACAUUGAGGAGUGUGGAGUCUUUUUCUGUGUCCAAUCUGGAGUCCUUAUCCCCUAAGCCCUUGGCGGGGAGUUAGCUGUUUUGUUCAUGUAGAGAUUUUCUGUCUCCAAGCUCAUUCUUUGGUUGUCCCUUCCUCUCCAGCGGCAUUUCUUUCCCUCUUGGUGUGCUCAGGUGGCCUUUGUGUAGAGUGCCUGGUGCACACAGAGUCUCUGUUUGCCUACUGAUGCGUGAUCUGCCAACAGUUGUUGGCAGAAUGUAUGUAAUGACCUUAGGAACUUGGUAGCAUUUGAACAGCUAGAUUAGGUUUUCCCAAUUCCCACUCUGACUUGCAAGUUUUAGGCGAUGGUUGAAGUUGCAUUAGCUCUUUCAGGGCAUUGAGUUAGUAAGUAAUGAUGGAAAUGAACUCAGUGGAACCUUAAAGAUUCUGAUUUAUCUCAAUCCCAGCACCUCCUUACUAAUCUUUCACCUUUACUCUCAGACAUGCAGUUCACACUAUACUAAUUAGCAUUUAUUUACAUGUUGCUUCCUUAAACCUUUUUUCAGCAUUAUGGAUGUAACUAACAUAUGUAUUUGCAAGAAAGC